Prosopis cineraria is the source of this 2173-nucleotide RNA transcript. It is a transcript of the gene named bystin, with no coding region annotated. Lineage: Eukaryota; Viridiplantae; Streptophyta; Magnoliopsida; Fabales; Fabaceae. The transcript has 10 exons. The record is from RefSeq and is a predicted model, not a curated record.
UUUAAACUUUCAACAAACAAAGUAAAAAGAUUUGUGCCGAUUUGGAAGUUAGAACCCUAACUCCUCCAUCUUCUUUCCGCCCCAAACUUUGGCGCGACGGAAAGAGAAACAGGGAGACCAGUCUGAGUUGCCAGACGCUGAGCCGCCAGCUCUGCAUUCAAGAGCGAGGGUUUUGGACAGCGAAGAGUUGCGUCACCGUCUCCAUCAAUGGCGAAGAGGAAGGAGAGACAGGUGAACCCGGAACCCUUUGAUCCUGACGGUAAUGAGUCCAUCCAGUCCAAGUCUCGCUCCAAAGCUGCCAAACAUCACCAAAAGGGAGAGAAGCUUAUCUCUUCCCGUAUUAGUUCUAAAAUUAUGAAGGAGGCUAUGCUUCAGCAGAAGGAGAUUCAGGAGGAAGCUGAAGCUUUCCAAGGGAACGCCAACAGCGCCUUCUUUCAAGUUGAGGAGCCGCCCAAUGUUGAGGAUGAUGAUGAUGAUGAUAUUGAUGAAUUUGCUGGGUUCUCCGAGACCCAGAGUCAAUUUGGUGGAUAUGAUGAAGAGAUUAAUGAGGAGGACGAGAGAGUAAUGGAGGCAUUCUUAUUGAAAGACCAGGGUAGGCAGCGAACACUUGCUGAUCUCAUUGUUGAAAGAAUAAAGGAAAAGGACGCAGCUGUUGCUUCUGAAGUGCGACCGGUGCCAAAGUUGGAUAAGUCCAUACUAGACAUAUACAAGGGGGUUGGGAUACAUCUUAGCAAAUAUACAGCAGGAAAAAUACCCAAGCCCUUCAAACACAUCCCUGCCAUGAAGCAUUGGGAGGAGAUUUUAUAUGUAACUCAACCUGAGAAUUGGUCACCAAAUGCAAUUUACCAAGCAACUAGAAUAUUUUCUUCUAAUUUGGGUGUAAAAAAGGCAGAACGCUUCUACAAGCUUGUACUGCUUCCAAGAGUGAGAGAGGAUAUAAGAAAGAACAAGAGACUGCAUUUUGCUUUAUAUCAAUCGCUGAAAAAGUCACUUUACAAACCUGCUGCAUUCUUUAAGGGAAUAUUGUUUCCAUUAUGUGAGUCACGUACAUGCACCCUCAGAGAAGCAGUCGUUAUUGGAAGCAUUAUACAAAAGGUUUCCAUUCCUCCACUUCAUUCAAGUGUGGCGCUGUUGAAACUUGCAGAGAUGGAAUAUUGUGGAACAACAAGCUAUUUCAUAAAGCUUCUCGUGGAGAAAAAAUAUGCUUUGCCAUAUCGCGUGGUCGAUGCUGUUGUUUCUCAUUUUACGAGAUUUGUUGAGGAAACUAGGAUAAUGCCUGUUAUAUGGCACCAAUCACUUCUUGCAUUUGUGCAGAGGUACAAAAAUGAACUUCGGAAGGAAGAGAAGGAUAAUUUAAGGGAUCUACUUGAUAAGCAAAAGCAUAGAUUAGUUACCCCUGAAAUUAUCCGGGAGCUAAACCACAGCCGUAACAGAGGCGAGAAGGAGGAUGAUCUUAUGUCAAUAUAUAUCCUUUCCUUAGUUUCUUUCCAACCACAUAAUUCACCUCCCCCCUCCCCACACUGAUAAAAAAGAAACGAAGGGAAGUCCCUGCUACAAUUAAAAGAAAAUUUUGUCAGCUAUGAAGCUGCAUGUUGAGACUAGGAUUAUUUAAAGAAAAUACAACCGGACCUUUCUUUUCAGUACAGAAGGAAUGACUUGCUAUUGGGUUGUCAUACCCUGUUAAUGGAGAUCAUAAAGAGCUAUCGGCUGAGCAACCGAGAAGGAUUUUAUCCAAUGUUCGGUUGUACGGAUUGAAAUAAAAGCAUUGUACGGCUUUCUUGGAAUCAAAGGCUAGGCUUCUGUUGCAGCCAUUUUAAUGGUUUUGCCCUAUGAGGAUUAUCUUUGGAGAUGGGCAGUCCAUUGCAGUUUCGCUGAGGCAGUUAAAUAGCAGUGCCUAGCAGUCUGAAAUUUUGCUUUGUGGAAUUGAAAUUUUGCUCGAAAGUCUUCUGAGAAAUGAUGGGACACCAUCUUUCUGAUGUAAUCAUUUUUCUGUCGGUGGGUAUUUGAUUGACGCCUCCGAAGGCUAUAGUUUUUGGAAUAGAACUGCGUUGCUCUAGAUCAUUAGAAGCAUAGCCAAGGCAAGACAUUUAAUUUAAGCAUAAAGCGGAUCGGUUAUAAAAAAUUAUAUCAUCAUGUUUUUUGAAUUAUUAUAAAAUUUUAUUACAUUCUGAUC